GAUGAAGAACGUAGCGAAAUGCGAUAAGUAGUGUGAAUUGCAGAAUUCAGUGAAUCAUCGAAUCUUUGAACGCACAUUGCGCCCCUUGGUAUCCCGAGGGGCAUGCCUGUUCGAGCGUCAUUUCACCACUCAAGCCUGGCUUGGUGUUGGGCGACGUCCCCUUUGGGGACGCGCCUCGAAACGCUCGGCGGCGUGGCACCGGCUUUAAGCGUAGCAGAAUCUUUCGCUUUGGAAGUCGGGGCCCCGUCUGCCGGAAGACCUACUCGCAAGGUUGACCUCGGAUCAGGCAGGGAUACCCGCUGAACUUAAGCAUCUCAAUAAGCGGAGGA
This 329-nucleotide unclassified non-coding RNA is filed under the name soil metagenome. RNAcentral's name for it is "partial contains 5.8S ribosomal RNA, internal transcribed spacer 2, and large subunit ribosomal RNA". The stretch from base 1 to 120 matches the Rfam family "5.8S ribosomal RNA", at positions 35 to 154 of the family's 154-position model. The record is from RNAcentral.